Molecule: ribosomal RNA, 1218 nt
Filed under: metagenome
Description: SSU rRNA
Rfam family: Eukaryotic small subunit ribosomal RNA
Source: RNAcentral
AGUCUGGUGCCAGCAGCCGCGGUAAUUCCAGCUCCAAUAGCAUACUUUAAAGUUGCUGCAGUUAAAAAGCUCGUAGUUGAAUUUCUGACUUAACAUGCUUAGCCCUUCCGGGUCACCGGUGGAGUGCUGAGUCGUGUUUGUCAUCCUUCCAGAAAAUGUUGUUGCGCUUCACUGCGUUGACAACACUAUCUGGAUCUUUUACUUUGAAAAAAUUAGAGUGUUUAAAGCAGGCUUUUGCUAUGAAUACAUUAGCAUGGAAUAAUAAUUUAGGACUUCGGUUCUAUUUUGUUGGUUUCUAGGACUGAAGUAAUGAUUGAUAGGGACAGUUGGGGAUGCUGAAAUUCAUUGGCCAGAGGUGAAAUUCUUGGAUUCAAUGAAGUUCAACUCAUGCGAAAGCAUUCAUCAAGGAUGUCUUCUUCUAAUCAAGAACGAAAGUUGGGGGAUCGAAGACGAUCAGAUACCGUCGUAGUCUCAACUAUAAACUAUGCCGACUCGGGAUUGGUGAACGUUGCAUUUUCGACUUCAUCAGCACCGUAUGAGAAAUCAAAGUCUUUGGGUUCCGGGGGGAGUAUGAUCGCAAGGUUGAAACUUAAAGGAAUUGACGGAAGGGCACCACCAGGAGUGGAGCCUGCGGCUUAAUUUGACCCAACACGGGAAAACUUACCAGGUCCAGACAUAGUGAGGAUUGACAGAUUGAAGAUCUUUCUUGAUUCUAUGGGUGGUGGUGCAUGGCCGUUCUUAGUUGGUGGAGCGAUUUGUCCGGUUAAUUCCGUUAACGAACGAGACCUCGACCUGCUAAAUAGUUCGGCGAAGGCGUCAGCCUUUGUACGUGACUUCUUAGAGGGACUAUCGGUGCUUUAGCCGAAGGAAGUUCGAGGCAAUAACAGGUCUGUGAUGCCCUUAGAUGUUCUGGGCUGCACGCGCGCUACACUGAUGGUUGCAUCGAGCUUACAACCUUGAUCGGAAGGUCUGGGUAAUCUUUUUAACGUCCAUCGUGCUGGGGAUAGAUUAUUGUAAUUAUUAAUCUUCAACGAGGAAUUCCCAGUAAACGCAAGUCAUCAACUUGCAUUGAUUACGUCCCUGCCCUUUGUACACACCGCCCGUCGCUACUACCGAUUGAAUGGAUUAAUGAGCUGCAGGGAUUGACGCGCUUGUGGGCAACUGCUUGCGUGUCGAGAACUGCAACAAAUUUGUUCAUUUAGAGGAAGUAAAAGUCGU